This 1569-nucleotide long non-coding RNA is filed under the name Prunus persica (peach). RNAcentral's name for it is "long non-coding RNA (PPER_LNC006979)". The record is from RNAcentral. Lineage: Eukaryota; Viridiplantae; Streptophyta; Magnoliopsida; Rosales; Rosaceae.
CUACCCCAAAAACUGACCGGAAGUGGCCGAAAUCGAGAUCCCAAAACUGUCCAAAUUUCCAAUUCGAAAAUCAAUUAUCUACUCUGAGACUCGAUUGAAUCCUACCCAACAGGCAGCUAGAACAGCUCGAGAGGUUCAAAAUCCAUACUUGGAUCGUCCGAUUUGGUGGCCGAACGACGGAGAUCGACGGCCGUGAAGUUUCUGUCAAAACCGCUUGGAUUUCUGCAAUUUUCGGCCAGCAUUGGCGGUUCCAGCGACUGAGGUUGGUCUAAAAAGGAAGAGGAGGUGACAGCGGUUCGAAUGGGUCCAAUUCUGGCGUAAGUGGUGGUCGGUGGUGGCGACGGCGCCACAAAAAUCCGAUCGAGGGGGGAGGGUGUUCUCGACGGGAGAGAGAGAGAGAGAGAGAGAGAGAGAGAGAGAGAGAGAGAGAGAGAGAGAGAGAGAGAGAGAGAGAGAAACUGAGGGAGAAGAGAGAGAAGUGAGGUUUUUGUAAAAAUCUGAUUUUUUUUUUCAAAUUACCGUUUUGUCCCUCAGAGUAUUUUUAACCUUUUUUUUUUGUUAAAGCUCCGAUUCGAGUCCACUUUGUGUCUACGAACUCAUUUCGUCGUGCUCUACGCAACGGUGUGUGUGGAAUUGUCAAAUUCCUUCUCGGUUAAAAAGUCAACCUUUCGUUAAUAAAUUAUUCCAAGGGUAAAAUUGUCUUUUCCUCUUAAUAAAUUAAUAAUUAACUAUUAAUUUAGAUUUGGGUUAUUACAAUUGGGUUACAAUCAAUGAUCGGCUAUCGAAUUGAAAGUUAUAUAUCCAUGACAUUGAAACAUAAUGUGCCAACAAGAUGAUAUUGUGAAAGCUAAAAUUCUGAUAGCGUAGGCAGAAGUCAGUUGCCAAAUUGUCCUGCAAAAAAAAACAUUCCUUUACUCUCAUGCUCCUGCUUCGGUCCCUAAAAAUCAACUUGCACACCUACCAACUAAGAAAAAGAAUAAGGAUAUAUAUAAUAUAUAAAUUGAAAUGUGACAAUUGUACGCGUCGUUUAUUAAAGCAUAUGCUCUUUAUUAAACGUGGGUUAGGUUAGCUCUUCUUCUUCUUUUUUUCUUUCCCUCGCGUGCAACAAUUAAUUCUUUCUUUUUUGAACAAAAUCACAACAUAAUCUUUAGAAGAUGCAAGCAGUUCCUGGAAAUUAAUAUUGUGAUCAGAAUCAAAGAGCAUAAGUGAGGGCUUCUAGUUUUAAGGGAAAAAUAUAAAAAGAAAAAAUAAAUAAAUAGAAAGUCCCAUAUAAUAAUUGGCUUCACUCACUCCUUAUAAUAUCGAGGCAUUUUGUAUAAAACCUCAUACUUGCUAAACAGGUGGUUAAGUUGGAGACAAUAUUGAUGUUGCUAGUAGUGGGCCAAGAAUCCGUCCCUCCGAUUAACAAAAAAGAAAAAAAAAGGGAAAAACAUAUCCUUCAACAAAUUAGAAUUAAGGCUUAUGCUCUCUUCUAAUUAGCUUGUAAAAGGUAUCCAUAUAUAAUGAGGAUAUAUAAGGAACCAAUCUGAGUAUAUAUUCCAAAAUUGACAACUGUUUCGACAUAUUGGC